This is a non-coding RNA of Mycena rebaudengoi, 89 nucleotides long. The record is from the annotation of a GenBank genome assembly. NCBI's taxonomy places the organism in Eukaryota, Fungi, Basidiomycota, Agaricomycetes, Agaricales, Mycenaceae.
GACCUAAUGGCAAAAUUGGCAUCGCGUCCACUGCACUUUGUGAUGUACUCAUUAUGCGGAAGUCCCUCGUUCGAAUCGAGGUUAGGUUG